GCCAAGUUUACUUUAUAGAAAGGACAGUAUGAAUCUGAAAAGAUUACAUUGCCGAUAUCUUUGCUAUUGUGUGAUAAUUGUUCUUAGCAAAUAGAAAAUGAUAUGGAACUAAAAAUCAAGGAUUGAUUCUUAUUGUAUCCUUCUGAGGCUAAGUUUAUGUUUAAAAUAUUUUUGACAGUUUUCCAGUGGAUUAAAAAAUAAGCUAUUCCUUGCUGAAGAUGGAUGCAAAAGUCCCCAUCUAGAGGGUCAUUCUCCUGCUUGUUCUUUCAAAUGUCUUCAGUGAAUGCACUCAUAAUGGAAAAGGCUAAUAUUACGGCGACAUCAUGAAUUUCUCCGACAGCUUUGUGAAUCAGCAGAGUAUUUCAGAGGCGAGCCCUGACUGUUAAAAGCAAAGUCGUUAUUUUUUUAAACAGCCUUUAAACUAGUAGGUGAAACAUUUCGUUCUGGGCCAAGAAUACAUUUACUAGGAAUAAGGAAGAGGAGAGGGGCUGAACCACUUGAGAAAGAACAGAAGAAUCCUACACCGAAUCAGCCAAACCUCAAAUGACACAGUUUUAAGGGUCAAACACUUUCGGCUUCUUUUUUAGUACCCAGGU
Molecule: long non-coding RNA, 596 nt
Filed under: Fukomys damarensis (Damara mole-rat)
Lineage: Eukaryota; Metazoa; Chordata; Mammalia; Rodentia; Bathyergidae
Description: lncRNA (ENSFDAG00000028625.1)
Source: RNAcentral